This 741-nucleotide ribosomal RNA is filed under the name uncultured bacterium. RNAcentral's name for it is "bacterial SSU rRNA". It matches the Rfam family "Archaeal small subunit ribosomal RNA", at positions 552 to 1295 of the family's 1478-position model. The record is from RNAcentral.
CUGAAGCUUAACUCCAGAAAGUCUGAAGAGACUGCAAGACUUGAGAUCGGGUGAGGUUAAACGUACUUUCAGGGUAGGGGUAAAAUCCUGUAAUCCCGGAAGGACGACCAGUGGCGAAAGCGUUUAACUAGAACGAAUCUGACGGUAAGGAACGAAGGCUAGGGUAGCAAACCGGAUUAGAUACCCGGGUAGUCCUAGCUGUAAACAUUGCCCAUUUGAUGUUGCUUUCCCGUUGAGGGAAGGCAGUGUCGGAGCGAAGGUGUUAAAUGGGCCGCUUGGGAAGUAUGGUCGCAAGACUGAAACUUAAAGGAAUUGGCGGGGGAGCACCGCAACGGGAGGAAUGUGCGGUUUAAUUGGAUUCAACGCCGGAAAACUCACCGGGAACGACCUGUGCAUGAGAGUCAACUUGACGAGCUUACUCGAUAGCAGGAGAGGUGGUGCAUGGCCGUCGUCAGCUCGUACCGUAGGGCGUUCACUUAAGUGUGAUAACGAGCGAGACCCACAUCUUUAAUUGCAAAUGUAUAUGGGAAUAUGCAUGCACUUUAGAGAAACCGCCAGCGCUAAGCUGGAGGAAGGAGUGGUCGACGGCAGGUCAGUACGCCCCGAAUUUCCCGGGCUACACGCGCAUUACAAAGAACGGGACAAUACGUUGCAACCUCGAAAGAGGGAGCUAAUCGCGAAACCCGUCCAUAGUUAGGAUUGAGGGCUGUAACUCGCCCUCAUGAAUCUGGAUUCCGUAGU